UACGGAGGGUGCGAGCGUUGUCCGGAAUUAUUGGGCGUAAAGGGCGCGUAGGCGGCCAUGCGUGUCUUCCGUGAAAUCCCUCGGCUCAACCGAGGACGUGCGGAAGAAACUGCAAGGCUCGAGUCCGGAAGAGGGGGGCGGAAUUCCCAGUGUAGCGGUGAAAUGCGUAGAUAUUGGGAGGAACACCAGUGGCGAAGGCGGUCCCCUGGGCCGGAACUGACGCUGAGGCGCGAAAGCGUGGGUAGCAAACGGG
Molecule: ribosomal RNA, 253 nt
Filed under: uncultured bacterium
Lineage: Bacteria
Description: partial 16S ribosomal RNA
Rfam family: Bacterial small subunit ribosomal RNA
Source: RNAcentral